AGUUCUCAACUGCACUAGUUCUUUCUGGUGCAGCUUGGAUGUGGGGGUGUUUUUUGCAGGCUUUUCAAAGUCGGCUCCCCUGAAAUGCAUUAGUGGUCUCCUAGCAGAGAAACUGCUACAGGUGUGAUAAUUAUCUAUGCCUUUAGUACUCUGCAAGAAUGGAUUGCACUGCUUCUUAACAAGUGAAUCCCUGUUAUGGGGAGUGCACAUUUGACAA
Molecule: unclassified non-coding RNA, 217 nt
Filed under: uncultured Inocybe
Lineage: Eukaryota; Fungi; Basidiomycota; Agaricomycetes; Agaricales; Cortinariaceae
Description: sequence contains ITS2
Source: RNAcentral